GGCGUAUUGGAGAAGAGGCUAACUCACAGGAUUUUCAAUCCUGCAUUCGCGCGGUUCGAAUCCGGCAUACGCUGCCA
Molecule: transfer RNA, 77 nt
Filed under: Ruminococcaceae bacterium YRB3002
Lineage: Bacteria; Bacillati; Bacillota; Clostridia; Eubacteriales; Oscillospiraceae
Description: tRNA_Glu_TTC
Rfam family: tRNA
About the family: Transfer RNA (tRNA) molecules are approximately 80 nucleotides in length. Their secondary structure includes four short double-helical elements and three loops (D, anti-codon, and T loops).
Source: RNAcentral